UACGUAGGGGGCUAGCGUUGUCCGGAAUUACUGGGCGUAAAGCGCGCGUAGGCGGUUUGGAAAGUCAGAUGUGAAAGCCCCGGGCUCAACUUGGGAACUGCAUUUGAUACUGCCAGACUAGAGUACAGAAGAGGUGACUGGAAUUCCCAGUGUAGCGGUGAAAUGCGUAGAUAUUGGGAGGAACACCAGAUGCGAAGGCGGGUCACUGGGCUGAUACUGACGCUGAGGCACGAAAGCGUGGGGAGCAAACAGG
RNAcentral lists this ribosomal RNA (253 nucleotides) under uncultured bacterium. Its description in RNAcentral is "partial 16S ribosomal RNA". It matches the Rfam family "Bacterial small subunit ribosomal RNA", at positions 524 to 776 of the family's 1533-position model. The record is from RNAcentral.